RNAcentral lists this ribosomal RNA (554 nucleotides) under uncultured bacterium. RNAcentral describes it as "bacterial SSU rRNA". It matches the Rfam family "Bacterial small subunit ribosomal RNA", at positions 37 to 623 of the family's 1533-position model. The record is from RNAcentral.
UGGCGGCGUGCCUAACACAUGCAAGUCGAACGAGAAAGUGGAGCAAUCCAUGAGUAAAGUGGCGACCGGGUGAGUAACACGUGACUAACCUACCUCCGAGUGGGGAAUAACUCCGGGAAACCGGGGCUAAUACCGCAUAACAUCGCAAGAUCAAAGCAGCAAUGCGCUUGGAGAGGGGGUCGCGGCUGAUUAGCUAGUUGGCGGGGUAACGGCCCACCAAGGCGAAGAUCGGUAUCCGGCCUGAGAGGGCGCACGGACACACUGGAACUGAAACACGGUCCAGACUCCUACGGGAGGCAGCAGUGGGGAAUUUUGCGCAAUGGGGGAAACCCUGACGCAGCAACGCCGCGUGGAGGAUGAAGCCCUUUGGGGCGUAAACUCCUUUCGACUCGGACGAUAAUGACGGUACGAGUGGAAGAAGCACCGGCUAACUCUGUGCCAGCAGCCGCGGUAAUACAGAGGGUGCAAGCGUUGUUCGGAAUUAUUGGGCGUAAAGGGCGCGUAGGCGGUGCGGUAAGUCACCUGUGAAAUCUCCUGNCUUAACUGGGAGUCUG